RNAcentral lists this ribosomal RNA (482 nucleotides) under uncultured Bacteroidota bacterium. RNAcentral's name for it is "bacterial SSU rRNA". It matches the Rfam family "Bacterial small subunit ribosomal RNA", at positions 28 to 505 of the family's 1533-position model. Lineage: Bacteria; Pseudomonadati; Bacteroidota. The record is from RNAcentral.
GAUGAACGCUAGCGGCAGGCUUAAUACAUGCAAGUCGAGCGAGAACGCUUCCUUCGGGAAGUUAUUAAAGCGGCGAACGGGUGCGUAACGCGUACACAACCUACCUCUUAGAGAGGGAUAGCCCCGGGAAACUGGGAAUAAUACCUCAUAGUAUUGCACUUUCGCAUGUUUGUGCAAUUAAAGCUCCGGCGCUAAGAGAUGGGUGUGCGUCCCAUUAGGUAGUUGGUGAGGUAAAGGCUCACCAAGCCGACGAUGGGUAGCGGGUCUGAGAGGAUGAUCCGCCACACGGGCACUGAGACACGGGCCCGACUCCUACGGGAGGCAGCAGUAAGGAAUAUUGGUCAAUGGAGGAAACUCUGAACCAGCCAUGCCGCGUGCAGGAUUGAAGGUCCUAUGGAUUGUAAACUGCUUUUCUACAGGAAUAAAAUAUCCGAUUUAUCGGAAGCUGAAGGUACUGUAGGAAUAAGCACCGGCUAACUCCG